RNA transcript from Triticum aestivum (bread wheat), 3517 nucleotides. RefSeq lists it as uncharacterized. NCBI's taxonomy places the organism in Eukaryota, Viridiplantae, Streptophyta, Magnoliopsida, Poales, Poaceae. The transcript is spliced from 4 exons. The record is from RefSeq and is a predicted model, not a curated record.
GUCGCCGUGGUGUCGCCGUGUCGGCUGAGUUCCUUCUCCGCCGUCGCAUCUGAGACUCGAGAGUGUGUGUGUGUGACCAUUCGUCGGCCUCAGUCGCCGGACGACGCCUUCCUGCCUUGCUGUUCGCCUUCAACUCCCCCGAGGCGACGCCCGGGUAACCACGGCGGUGCUGCGGCCGUCCAGGCCAUCCCCGGCCGCAUCGCAUUAGAGGAAGGAGCUGCUGCCCGCGGUCCUUCCCAAUGCUAGCUCCCCACCUCUGAUUGGAGACAGCUGCUGGCCUCUGGGAGGGAGUGCGCCUGCUCCUGCUGCGGCCUCACUGCUUCUCCUCCUUGCCGCCAUCACCGGCGCUCGGCGUUGGUUGAUGUAGCUUCCGAAGCUCCGCCGUCACCCGCAUCUGGUGCUCCAGCUGGAGAGAUCCCCAAGACAAGUCUUGCACGUCGAUCCCGCUGCAGUGCAGCGACCGGCGAAGCAGCUGCUGCAACAGGGAAGCUCGGCUCAGCCUCAGCUCGACCAGCAACUGUGGAGCAGAAACAUGGUGGAUUACCGCCGCAUGGGAAUUAUGGAGCAGCACUACUCGCGGAAUGCAACAUCAACAACAUCCUUCCUGCAUCAGCUGAGAGGUCUGUGGAAGAGCCCAAGGGGGACGGUACUUCGUGUAGAGGCUUUGGCACUGGCGGCUAUUGCCUUCUCUUUCUUGCUUGUUGCAUUGGGAGCCUGCCGCCGUUGGUCUAAGCGCUGGAUCAUCCAAAAAGGCUUCUUGGCUGCAAAUGUGUUAUCUAUAUCCCUUGGGACAUACAGUAUUGGUCUAAUGCAAUCCUCUUCGGUGAAGAGCGAGAUGUAUCCCGUAUGGGCCGUGUCCUUGCUCACCCUCUUCGGCUGCGUCGACCCAGUUACUUCCUACAACGGUCUUGACUACAAGGGCCCACUCUCAAAGAUGAUAUUUCAGCUCUGCCUAUAUUGUGGAUAUGUCCUGCUGAUGAGUAUCUCAACCAUCUCCAGUGAUGUUGGUAACAUAGCCAUCGGUGUGCUGUCUGCUGUCAACUUUUUCAAGGGCUUUCAUAGGUCGUUGGCGCUUGUGCUGCCAAGAAGAAUGCGAAAAAUGAUAAGGCACCUUAAAUCUGAUGCCGAAACAAAUGCUAUAUCAGAUCUUGAUGAUUAUGACUAUGCAAUAGUAUCAGACUUGGUAGUUGAUUUCCCCCUAGACAUGGAUGACCCAAAGCAGAGCUUUUAUUCAAUAUUAGUGCGUGAUGGAGUUUUGAGGAAUAAUAUCAGUUCGAGCUGCGAAGACAUGGUUAAGCUACGGAUAAAUGUCGGUGACUGUCAUGAUGUGUGCACUGCCUUCGCUCUGUCUCAUUUGUUGCAACGGCAUUUCAUUGGAUUGAGUGACGCUUCGGAAAGGAAGAACGAUAUUUCAUAUCAGAUUGCUUCAGACUUCAAUCGAGCCUUUAAGGUGAUUGAGGUUGAGCUGGCUUUUCUAUACGAUAUCUUCUUCACAGGUAAUGCAUUCCUUCACUACUAUCAAGCAAAGACUGCUAGUUUCUGGGCAUUCGCUUCAUUCAUCGGAAUAUGUUUUGUUGGGGUGGCGGCUGCCAUCCCUGGGACGAUGACUAGCCGCCAUAGUGCUUCUCUUGGUCCUGGUGCUGGCACCAUCACGACAGCAGAUCUCACCGUUACUCUUGUCAUAUUGGUGUCCCUGGCUCUGCUGCAAUUGUUGCAACUAAUCCGGUGCUGGACAUCAAAUUGGGCGAGAGUUGCAUUUGCCUGUGGGCACGCCAGGAACAUGCAGAAAGGAACCAGACAGCCGCUAUGGUGGAUGAGAUUGAAAGGGUUUCUAGUCACCAGGAUUAAUUGGUUUGACAAAUACCUGUGGCAAGAUGAGCUCGGCCAGCAUUCAGUAAUUGAAGCGAGCAGCAGGAAAGAAGGCAAGCUGUUAUUCAGCCGGAGUGGCCGUCUUUAUGUGAAGUGUGCUCGCUUUCUUCGGAUGGUUGGAUUGCAGUACGUUGGAGAGGUGGUCUGGGAACUGGUGGGCAGCGACAGUAGCACAGGGCCUGCUGUUAGGUUGCACCCCGAUGUGAAGGGCUCCAUUGCCGAGCUCCUUGGUCGGGUUCAUAAUGAUACAAUAGGGGAGAGUUGGUCGUCCUUGUUUGUUGCUAAUGGAGUAGAUGAAUGGCACCUUCCCCAUUGGCAUUUCGACAAUCCUGCAGGUGCAGAACAGCUCUCAUAUUGCUGUUUGUACACACGUUCUGUUAUGAUGUGGCAUGUUGCGACAUGCUACUGCGAACUAGCAGAGCAGGCGAAGCAGAAGGAGCACACAGGAGCAGAAGAAAAGAGUCGGCGCGUGGCCCUGGCUCUGUCCAAGUAUUGCGCCCACUUGCUGGUGUCAGCGCCAGAGUUGCUACCUGGCACGCUUCAGAAAAGGAAAGAAACGUAUGAUGGUGUUGAGUCGGAAGCAAGGAAAGUUCUUCAAGGGGCCAAAGACAAGCUUGAGGCAAUGCAAAGCGAACCCCAUAUCGAUCUCGACAGCCCUAGCAGCAUCUUCUGGGACGGUGUGCGUCUUGCAAAGCAACUUUUUUGUGGGGACAUUGGGGAUCCCUGGAAGCUGCUGGAAGUUUUCUGGGUCCAGGCGUUGCUCUACGCCGCGCCGUAUGGCGACGUGGAGGUGCAUAUGCAGCAUCUCUCGCAGGGUGGCGAGCUCAUCACCCAUCUCUGGGCAUUGUUGUACCACGCCCACAUCUACGGCUGGAAAACUGUAGAGAGAUGGGGAGGGAAGCCGAUGAAGUUGGAGACCGAGGAGGUAGAAGAGAAUCCCAAGGAUGGUGGACAGUUCAAGGGUGACCUUAACACCUGUUCAAAAGCAGAUGAUAAUCCGAGGGGUUCAAUUCCUCUUCAAAGUGCCACCGGCAUAGAAGAGAACUCCAUGGACAUGGAUUCCGAGGUUGAGAUCGAGGAUGACAUCAGUUCCUGUUCAAAAGAUGAUAAUCCGAAUAGGAUUUCAGUUCCUGUGCAAGCUGACAUCCGAUGGAUGUAGCCAUGUAUGACAGAGACAGACUGAGGAGGACUUUAGUUCCUGUUUACAGCGGCUCAGUCUGGUCACCUGAGACCUUUUCAGUCUUCUAAGUAAUGUUUUCUCUCAGAUUUUAAGGUACUCGCAAAUGAAUAUGGACCAUCCAUCGGAGACAAAGGACAGCUGAUGGGGAAGGACUUGCUGCCGCCAGGCCGGGAGUGGACGUCGUCGCCGCUGUUCGGAGGAAGAAGGGCUCGCCGCCGUCGUCGGGGAAGGAGCUGUCGUGGAAGGUGUGGCUAGGAGCGCCUAGGGCGAGCCACACCACUGCUGGGGGCACCAUCCGUGCGAGGUGAGGUCGCAUGGGGAAGGUUGCGUUGCCGCCGCAAGGACCAUCACCGCCUCCUAGGGCCAUCGACGCCAUCACCGGAGGGAGGGAUAGGGAGGGCGGCAGCGCGGCGGCGGAAUCUUUGACCAGACGGAGGGGCGCCACCGCCUCUGGAGUUAAAGGCCCGU